This 905-nucleotide long non-coding RNA is filed under the name Apteryx haastii (Great spotted kiwi). Its description in RNAcentral is "lncRNA (ENSAHAG00000008570.1)". Lineage: Eukaryota; Metazoa; Chordata; Aves; Apterygiformes; Apterygidae. The record is from RNAcentral.
CGACAGCGGCGGCUGCCAGAUCCUCUACGACAGGAGGAGCCAGGCGCAGGCCUGGCGCCGGGUGGGCUGCGGAGCCGCGCCGGGGCCCCCCGAGCGGCCGCCCGCCGGGGACGAGCCCCCGGAAAGGGAGAGCCGGUCCCGUCCCGGCGCUGCUCCGUGCCCCGGCGCUGCUCCGUGCCCCAGCGCUGCUCCGUGCUCCGGUGCGGCUCCAUGCUCCGGCGCAGCCCUGCAUCCACCCGCCGGCAGGCCGGCCCCGGGCGGCGAUGACGGCAGCUCCGGCCGCGCCGCCGAGCUCUCCCCGGCCGUGGCCAAGGCUAAAGAGUUCGUGGCCGACAUCUUCCGCCGCGCCAAGGAGGCCAAAGGCUCGGCCCUGGCGGAGGAGGAGGAAGAGGAGGAGGAUGAGGAGGAGGAGAGUGGCGGGAGCGGGUUCGGCUGCCGCCCCGAGGCCGGGCCCGGCGGCUCCCCGUCACCGGCGCUCCCCUCCGGAGCGUCGUGGGAGGCCCGGCGCCGGCGCCUGCCAGCGUCGCCCCAGGGCGACGGGACCCCCGAGGGCGAGCUGUCGCCCAAAGCGUCGCCGCCGUGCGGCGCCGAGCCGGGUUACGUCAACUACACCAAGCUGCGCUACGUGCUGGAGCCCGCCGAGCCCGCCGAGCCCGAGGACGAGUACGAGGACGACAAAAUCUCGCUGCCCUUCGUCGUCACCGACCUCCGAGGCCGCAACCUGAAGCCGUUGAAGGAGAAGGCGAUCGCCCAGGGCCAGUACCUGACGGUGGAGCAGCUGACGCUGGAUUUCGAGUACGUCAUCAACGAGGUGAUCCGCAACGACGCCGCCUGGUCCCGGCAGUUCUGCUCCUUCAGCGACUACGACAUCGUCAUCCUCGAGGUGGGCGCCGGGGCGGGGUGGG